UAACACAUGCAAGUCGAGCGGAAACGAAGAGGUGCUUACACCUCUGGCGUCGAGCGGCGGACGGGUGAGUAAUGCUUGGGAAUAUGCCUUAUGGUGGGGGACAACAGUUGGAAACGACUGCUAAUACCGCAUGAUGUCUACGGACCAAAGUGGGGGACCUUCGGGCCUCACGCCAUAAGAUUAGCCCAAGUGGGAUUAGCUAGUUGGUGAGGUAAUGGCUCACCAAGGCGACGAUCCCUAGCUGGUUUGAGAGGAUGAUCAGCCACACUGGGACUGAGACACGGCCCAGACUCCUACGGGAGGCAGCAGUGGGGAAUAUUGCACAAUGGGCGCAAGCCUGAUGCAGCCAUGCCGCGUGUGUGAAGAAGGCCUUCGGGUUGUAAAGCACUUUCAGUAAGGAGGAAAGGUUAAGUGUUAAUAGCACUUAGCUGUGACGUUACUUACAGAAGAAGCACCGGCUAACUCCGUGCCAGCAGCCGCGGUAAUACGGAGGGUGCGAGCGUUAAUCGGAAUUACUGGGCGUAAAGCGUACGCAGGCGGUUUGUUAAGCGAGAUGUGAAAGCCCCGGGCUCAAUCUGGGAACUG
Molecule: ribosomal RNA, 585 nt
Filed under: uncultured bacterium
Lineage: Bacteria
Description: bacterial SSU rRNA
Rfam family: Bacterial small subunit ribosomal RNA
Source: RNAcentral